AUUGAACGCUGGCGGCAGGCCUAACACAUGCAAGUCGAGCGGUAGAGAGAAGCUUGCUUCUCUUGAGAGCGGCGGACGGGUGAGUAAUGCCUAGGAAUCUGCCUGGUAGUGGGGGAUAACGUUCGGAAACGGACGCUAAUACCGCAUACGUCCUACGGGAGAAAGCAGGGGACCUUCGGGCCUUGCGCUAUCAGAUGAGCCUAGGUCGGAUCAGCUAGUUGGUGAGGUAAUGGCUCACCAAGGCGACGAUCCGUAACUGGUCUGAGAGGGUGAUCAGUCACACUGGAACUGAGACACGGUCCAGACUCCUACGGGAGGCAGCAGUGGGGAAUAUUGGACAAUGGGCGAAAGCCUGAUCCAGCCAUGCCGCGUGUGUGAAGAAGGUCUUCGGAUUGUAAAGCACUUUAAGUUGGGAGGAAGGGUUGUAGAUUAAUACUCUGCAAUUUUGACGUUACCGACAGAAUAAGCACCGGCUAACUCUGUGCCAGCAGCCGCGGUAAUACAGAGGGUGCAAGCGUUAAUCGGAAUUACUGGGCGUAAAGCGCGCGUAGGUGGUUUGUUAAGUUGGAUGUGAAAUCCCCGGGCUCAACCUGGGAACUGCAUUCAAAACUGACUGACUAGAGUAUGGUAGAGGGUGGUGGAAUUUCCUGUGUAGCGGUGAAAUGCGUAGAUAUAGGAAGGAACACCAGUGGCGAAGGCGACCACCUGGACUAAUACUGACACUGAGGUGCGAAAGCGUGGGUAGCAAACAGG
RNAcentral lists this ribosomal RNA (753 nucleotides) under uncultured Pseudomonas sp. RNAcentral's name for it is "bacterial SSU rRNA". It matches the Rfam family "Bacterial small subunit ribosomal RNA", at positions 28 to 776 of the family's 1533-position model. Lineage: Bacteria; Pseudomonadati; Pseudomonadota; Gammaproteobacteria; Pseudomonadales; Pseudomonadaceae. The record is from RNAcentral.